CAAAAUGGGUGGUAGACUUCACCUAAGGCUAAAUAUCAGCGAGAGACCGAUAGCGAACAAGUACUGUGAAGGAAAGAUGAAAAGAACUUCGAAAAGAGAGUUAAAUAGUACGUGAAAUUGUUGAAAGGGAAACGAUUGAAGUCAGUCAUGCUAGUGAAAAUUCAGUUUGGUGGGUUUUGGGUUCAGGAGUUGAGGCAGGGUCAAACCGUUUCUCUUUUGAACUUGGAAUUUGUCCGAUGCACUUUUUCUUUGGCAGGUCAGCGUCGAUUUCGGAGGUUGUAAAAUACUUGGGGAAAAGUAGCUCUGCUUCGGGAGAGUGUUAUAGACCUUGGGCGAUGCAGCCUGUGGGAUCGAGGAUUGCAGCAAAUACCUUUGGCUUGUCGCCUGAUCUCUGGACGUCAUCUCGCUUGUAUCAACAUUCUUGGUGCCGGUGAGUAAUGGUGCUCAUAAGGUUAGAGCGAUCAA
RNAcentral lists this ribosomal RNA (465 nucleotides) under Diversispora celata. RNAcentral's name for it is "eukaryotic LSU rRNA". It matches the Rfam family "Eukaryotic large subunit ribosomal RNA", at positions 288 to 609 of the family's 3401-position model. Lineage: Eukaryota; Fungi; Glomeromycota; Glomeromycetes; Diversisporales; Diversisporaceae. The record is from RNAcentral.